Molecule: non-coding RNA, 72 nt
Organism: Parelaphostrongylus tenuis
Lineage: Eukaryota; Metazoa; Nematoda; Chromadorea; Rhabditida; Metastrongylidae
Source: the annotation of a GenBank genome assembly
GCCUCGGUGGUGUAGUGAUGGAGCGCGCGUUCGUGGAUAGGAUGAACGCGAGUUCGAUUCCCGCUUGAGGCC